CUGAAACCCUUGGGCCAAAUACAUUUUGGAAUAUAGAACUUUUUCAGUUGUAGAUUUGUAAUAGAGUACAUAGUAUACUAUGUAUUAUGCAACACUCUCCAACAGAGUCUGGAAAAAUACUCUAUUAUCAAACACAUUAAUAUUUCUGCAGUAAAAUGUAUGAAUGUUCAUAUUAUAUGGGAUUAAUAAAGGCUAAAAAUAGUCUUGCAUCAGUUCAGGUCAGUUUUUACCACCAAAUGAGCUUGCCUCAAACUUAUGUGAAAUUUUUCAGUUUUCAGAGCUUUAAGAUAAUUAUAUCUUACUAACCUCUGAGACUGAAGGUCCUGAUAAACUUUUGGACUCAAUUCUGAGAGGAAAGGUCACUGUCAUUCAAAAGUUACCCAUGUCAUCAACCAGAAUAUUAGUUGGCCUUCAUUUUCAAGAUUAAUUUAUGACCUUUUGCAAAAAUGUAGAAAGAAUAUUCAAAUGUAGAUUCUUCACUUAAAGAACUUCAUUUAGGCAGAUGUGUCUAGAAAAUCAUCAAAAUAGGAAGCAGAGAGUUAAUGCCUCUCUGAAUGAAUCUAAAUAGAAGCAGAUUAUUAUGGUUUUUAAUUUGGUCUGACUUGUUUUAUGUUUUAUUUCAAGGUGUCAGCAUUGUUAGGGUCAUGUUAAUUUCCAUGUUUGGAAGGAUGCAAUAAAGUACCUUUGGUUAUCAAAGGGACAGGAUUUUUAAUAACUUAUUAUUUUAAGAAGGCAGUGCUUUAUUUAAAUUUGUAUUUUAAAUAACUUUUUCUUGUAAAUAGUGAGGAACAAGUUUUUAAAUUUGAGUUAAUCUUUGCAGGAUGUCAACAUCAAACUAAUUUUACUAUUCCUUGGAAAAAUAACAAUAAUUAAGUAAAGCUUAAAGAUAAUGUACAAUUUAACACCAAAAAAACUUCUAACUCAAGAAGAAUAUGGGUUUUUAUGUUUCAAUCUAAUCUUGAUUUCAGUAUAUUUGUAGGGGUUUCUUAGACUUGCCUUUGUUCUUAGGCACACAACUCAUGCAUAAGAAACAUUAAAGAUUAAAGAACUUUGUAAAGUUCUUCUAAGAAGAUUGAGCUACUAGACAUCAAAAAGAUUAUGGGACUGAGCUACACUCGAGAAAGGUGAGCAUGGCUGGACCUUGGUACCCAAGGAAGAGACGAGAAUGGGAUGAGUUCAAAGAGUUGGAGGAGCCUAAUAGAUAUUUGGAGACUUCUAGGGCAUGGUUGAGAAUUUGAAUUUUGUUAUAAAAGCAGUUAAAAGGAAGGGUUAAAUGGAAUAGGAUGAUCUCAUUUAUGGUGAAUGGAUAGAUGAGGGCAAGAGUACAAUUAGGAAGGUGCAAUUGGGAAGGUGAUCUCAUUUCUCAUCAUAAAUGAGAAAAAUGUCAGAUAAAUCCCUUUUGAAGGACAUCCUGCUGAAUACCUGACCAGUGCUCACAACUGUCAAGGUCAUCAAAACAAGGAAAGUGAGGAACUGCCACAGCCCUGAGGAGCCUAAAGAGACAUGACUAAAUGUAAUGUGGUAUCCUGGACGGGAUCCUGAAACAGAAAAGGACGUUACAGAAAACUCAGGACAUCUGAAUGAAGUAUGGACUUUAGUUGAUAUUAAUGUAUCAGUAUUGAUUCAUUAUUGUAACAAACGUACCAUACUAAAGAUGUUAGUAGAGGAAACUGAGUGUAGGAUAUAUAGGAACUCUUGCUUUCUUUUCAACUUCUCUGUAAAUCAAAAAAAAAAAGCUGUUCUAAAAUUAAAAGUUUAUCAAAAAGAAGGUAUGGGGAUAAAUCCAGUGUAUACAAAACAAAGUGCAAGACAGUAGUAUGAGUGAAACCUGGAGAAGUACAGAGAAAAAAUCACAAUGACCUGUUCCAGCUGUCGUAUUUUUAAAACGUAGAGGAAAACAUGGAGUUUACAGGAGAUUUAAGUUACAGUCUGAACUUUGGCACUAAGAAAUUGUAUAGUUUUCAAAAGAGAGUAAACCUCCAUACUCCAUAUUUAUCUCAAAAUUCUACUUAGCGAGAGUGAUAGUCUCAUCUCUGCUAAUAAGUAAGAUUACACAACGAAGUCCAUAGUCUCAUUCUCGUGGUUCAGUCACUCAGGUGUCUGAGUGCCUGCACUUAUUUGUUUCUUCUUUUUACCUGAGGUCGUUGCAGCUUCUCAAUAUGAGAAUCAAGAAAUCUUUCUACUUGUUUCUGGUUUUCGUUUGUUCUCACUUCUCCAUGAAUCCUUCGUCCUUGAUCAGCGUUAGAUGCAAAUUCCCUGGUGCCAAGUUCUGAAGGAGAUCUCGGGUUGGAACCGGGCAGAAACCCUGAGACUUAAAGUCGUAAAGAUCUGGAAGGACCUGCCAGAGGAAGUCGGACACCCCAUCAACCGGGAGACUUCAUCUACCUAAAGGUGUUCCAGAAGAGAGACAGCUGUCACCGAGUCGGGAGGGACCCUUUCUGCUGUAAGCCUCUCAAAGUGAAAGAGCUCAGCUGGAGUCUUGCUUCCCGUGUGAAGCCGGCAUUACAGGAGGACUGGGUGGGCUUCCGCAAAGGGCCUAAAACUUAACUUUUCCAGAGUAACCAACUGGUGUUGACCUCAACUGAAAAGAAGUAUUCUAGAAAAUGUGUUACAAUUCUCAAAGGCUGCCUGGUUGUCCUGCUCGCAGCCAUGGUUAUUCCAUUUAAUUCGAAAAUCACGUUUAGUAGAAAACAAUGUUUUUUGUGACACUGCUCUUUCUUUCUGCACUCCCAGUGAUGGUUCCCACAACCACGUAGUUCUCAUCAGCUCUAAACCGGGCUCUCAGUAUGGACGUGCUCUGGACUUAAGUCCACUAGUUUGAUUAUUAGCAGAGGACACGUGGGACCAUCUUCACCAGUGAUCUUUGAUAAUAAAGUAAAAGUAAUUAAUAUGCACCAGGUGCUCAAGCUCUAAAUUUGGCACAAAAAAUGUUAACUGAUUGGAAAGAUGAUGUAGAAAAGAAAAACAUCUAAUUAAUAGACAGACAAAUAGAAACUGCAAAAGGCUGGUCUAAUGUCACUAGGUUAACAUUGGGGUUCAGGUUCUUUCUGGUCCCAGUAUGGAUGGAUAAACAAAGAUGAAUGCCUGUUAUGGAGAGAUUAUUCCCCCAAAGCAAAUACUAUACUGAAUUUUUAAGUUCAUAUUACAUUAAAUUGUCAUUCUGGAAACUGCUUUAUUUACAUUUACUCUAGACAUGCUGGACAUUUAGGUGCCUGCAAGUUGCCCAGAGAAAGGUUGAAACCACAAUGGAAAUAAUUAGAAGAUUGUGUUGUCAUUAUUUUAUAGAACACAGGGAGGAAACUGUAAGGACAGAUACAAAUUAAAAA
This 3326-nucleotide long non-coding RNA is filed under the name Equus asinus (donkey). RNAcentral describes it as "lncRNA (ENSEASG00005036831.1)". The record is from RNAcentral. Lineage: Eukaryota; Metazoa; Chordata; Mammalia; Perissodactyla; Equidae.